CUACACGACCGUACCGCAAACCGACACUGGUGCGCGAGAUGAGUAUUCUAAGGCGCUUGAGAGAACUCAGGAGAAGGAACUCGGCAAAUUGACACCGUAACUUCGGAAGAAGGUGUGCCUUUAGUAGGUGAACCUGUACAAGGGGAGCCCAAUGAGGUUGCAAAAAAUCGGUGGCUGCGACUGUUUAAUAAAAACACAGCACUCUGCAAACACGAAAGUGGACGUAUAGGGUGUGACGCCUGCCCGGUGCUGGAAGAUUAAAUGAUGGGGUGCAAGCUCUUGAUUGAAGUCCCAGUAAACGGCGGCCGUAACUAUAACGGUCCUAAGGUAGCGAAAUUCCUUGUCGGGUAAGUUCCGACCUGCACGAAUGGCGUAACGAUGGCCACACUGUCUCCUCCUGAGACUCAGCGAAGUUGAAAUGUUUGUGAUGAUGCAAUCUCCCCGCGGAAAGACGGAAAGACCCCAUGAACCUUUACUGUAGCUUUGUAUUGGACUUUGAACAGAUCUGUGUAGGAUAGGUGGGAGGCUUUGAAGUGUGGUCGCUAGAUCGCAUGGAGCCAACGUUGAAAUACCACCCUGGUGUGUUUGAGGUUCUAACCUAGGCCCGUAAUCCGGGUCGGGGACAGUGCAUGGUAGGCAGUUUGACUGGGGCGGUCUCCUCCCAAAGCGUAACGGAGGAGUUCGAAGGUACGCUAGGUACGGUCGGACAUCGUGCUAAUAGUGCAAUGGCAUAAGCGUGCUUAACUGCGAGACUGACAAGUCGAGCAGAUGCGAAAGCAGGACAUAGUGAUCCGGUGGUUCUGUAUGGAAGGGCCAUCGCUCAACGGAUAAAAGGUACUCUGGGGAUAACAGGCUGAUACCGCCCAAGAGUUCAUAUCGACGGCGGUGUUUGGCACCUCGAUGUCGGCUCAUCUCAUCCUGGGGCUGUAGCCGGUCCCAAGGGUAUGGCUGUUCGCCAUUUAAAGAGGUACGUGAGCUGGGUUUAAAACGUCGUGAGACAGUUUGGUCCCUAUCUUCCGUGGGCGCUGCAGAUUUGAGGAAGCCUGCUCCUAGUACGAGAGGACCGGAGUGGACACACCUCUGGUGUAUCGGUUGUCACGCCAGUGGCAUUGCCGAGUAGCUAUGUGUGGAAGAGAUAACCGCUGAAAGCAUCUAAGCGGGAAACUCGUUUCAAGAUGAGAUCUGCCGGGGCCUUGAGCCCCCUAAAGAGUCGUUCAAGACCAGGACGUUGAUGGGUCGGGUGUGGAAGCGCAGUAAUGCGUUAAGCUAACCGAUACUAAUUGCUCGUGCGGCUUGACCCU
Molecule: ribosomal RNA, 1301 nt
Filed under: metagenome
Description: bacterial LSU rRNA
Rfam family: Bacterial large subunit ribosomal RNA
Source: RNAcentral